This 247-nucleotide ribosomal RNA is filed under the name uncultured bacterium. Its description in RNAcentral is "partial 16S ribosomal RNA". It matches the Rfam family "Bacterial small subunit ribosomal RNA", at positions 523 to 769 of the family's 1533-position model. The record is from RNAcentral.
AUACGGAGGGUGCGAGCGUUAUUCGGAUUUACUGGGCGUAAAGCGCGUGCAGGCGGGUGGAAAAGUCUGAUGUGAAAGCCCCGGGCUCAACCUGGGAAGUGCAUUGGAAACUGUUCAUCUUGAGUGAUGGAGAGGAAGGGGGAAUUCCCGGUGUAGAGGUGAAAUUCGUAGAGAUCGGGAGGAGUACCAGUGGCGAAGGCGCCCUUCUGGACGGCAACUGACGCUGAGACGCGAAAGCGUGGGGAGC